This 230-nucleotide ribosomal RNA is filed under the name uncultured bacterium. Its description in RNAcentral is "partial 16S ribosomal RNA". It matches the Rfam family "Bacterial small subunit ribosomal RNA", at positions 127 to 353 of the family's 1533-position model. The record is from RNAcentral.
UGCCUUGGAGAGGGGGAAUAACACUCCGAAAGGAGUGCUAAUACCGCAUGAUGCAGUUGGGUCGCAUGGCUCUGACUGCCAAAGAUUUAUCGCUCUGAGAUGGCCUCGCGUCUGAUUAGCUAGUGGGCGGGGUAACGGCCCACCUAGGCGACGAUCAGUAGCCGGACUGAGAGGUUGACCGGCCACAUUGGGACUGAGACACGGCCCAGACUCCUACGGGAGGCAGCAUG